Grammomys surdaster is the source of this 838-nucleotide long non-coding RNA. RefSeq lists it as uncharacterized. The record is from RefSeq and is a predicted model, not a curated record. The transcript is spliced from 3 exons. NCBI's taxonomy places the organism in Eukaryota, Metazoa, Chordata, Mammalia, Rodentia, Muridae.
CAGGGGGCCAAAGCCCCAGUUCCCACCUCGCUGGUGACAAUGCCAGGAUGCUGUGCCAUCACUACCGUCUUCACUCACCUGCAAAUCCUCGCUCUGUGAUGACGCCACCAUUCUCUGCUGGACUGCAGGAGGAAAGUGAAGCUUCCAGGAUGCUCAAUACUGAAGCAUCCUGAAUUACAAAGCUGGAUGCUGAGCUAUGCACUCCAAGACUCCCACUGACUACAUCCGAGCAAUCACCACUGGCUCUGCUUUACGGCUUGGGAACAUUUCAACUAUUAAAUCUGCCUGAGAGGAAAUGAAGUGACGUUGGCCGGGUUCCUUCUUAUCUUGGUUUCAUCUAACAAAGCAAGCCAGUAGUCAAUGGAAACCUAAAGGGAAAAGCCGCUCACGUCGCACACCCGCACACCGGAUGUGGAAGUCAGAGGACCGCCUACCCAGAGUCACGUGGAGUGCUGUUGCUCGAGCCGAUUAAAAAGGCUGCGAGUCAGGAUAACAGCAUCCGCCAGGUACGCUGAUUCUUCAAUCAGCUGCGUUCACCAGAAGAACAAGAUGCCUGUGGACAUGGAAAGAAGAAAACUGUAUCUAAGAAAAAGACUACUGUGGGCUGUUUCAGAAUAAAAUCCAGAGGGGAGAGAGAGAGACCAUGCACUACAUACAAAAAUUCCCAUUUCCCCCCAGAGCACAUUGAGUCCCUGUUGAGUAUGUCUCCAGGAGGAAUGAUGGAAUACUCUGACUCCACACAGCAAGCUUAACCUUCAGGCCUUCCACCGAGCCUUCCUGGGGCUUAAAAUAUAAACAUAUAAAGUUUCUACUUCUAUUUCCUAAGAAGUACACUUCA